AUUGAACGCUGGCGGCAUGCCAUACACAUGCAAGUCGAACGGCAGCACGGGAGCAAUCCUGGUGGCGAGUGGCGAACGGGUGAGUAAAGUAUCGGAACGUGCCCAGUCGUGGGGGAUAACGUAGCGAAAGUUACGCUAAUACCGCAUACGAUCUAUGGAUGAAAGCGGGGGAUCGCAAGACCUCGCCCGAUUGGAGCGGCCGAUAUCAGAUUAGGUCGUUGGUGGGGUAAAGGCUCACCAAGCCGACGAUCUGUAGCUGGUCUGAGAGGACGACCAGCCACACUGGGACUGAGACACGGCCCAGACUCCUACGGGAGGCAGCAGUGGGGAAUUUUGGACAAUGGGCGAAAGCCUGAUCCAGCCAUGCCGCGUGCAGGAUGAAGGCCUUCGGGUUGUAAACUGCUUUUGUACGGAACGAAAAGGUUUGGCCUAAUAAGCUGAGCUCAUGACGGUACCGUAAGAAUAAACACCGGCUAACUACGUGCCAGCCGCCGCGGUAA
RNAcentral lists this ribosomal RNA (500 nucleotides) under uncultured bacterium. RNAcentral describes it as "partial 16S ribosomal RNA". It matches the Rfam family "Bacterial small subunit ribosomal RNA", at positions 30 to 523 of the family's 1533-position model. The record is from RNAcentral.